This 1503-nucleotide ribosomal RNA is filed under the name Triticum aestivum (bread wheat). RNAcentral describes it as "partial small subunit ribosomal RNA". The record is from RNAcentral. Lineage: Eukaryota; Viridiplantae; Streptophyta; Magnoliopsida; Poales; Poaceae.
AUGAGGCCUCUCGGCGCCGUCGCCCUGCUCCUCGUCGCGGCAGCGGCGGCGCCACGGGCGGUGAGCGGCCAGCACUACGGCUCGAUCAGCAGAGACGACUUCCCCGUGGACUUCAGCUUCGGGGCCAGCACAUCAGCUUAUCAGUGGGAAGGCGCGGCGGCGGAGGACGGCCGGACUCCCAGCGUGUGGGACACCUUCGCUCACGCCCACGCCGGUGAUGACUCUGUAAAUGGUGACGUGGCAGCUGACGGCUACCACAAGUACAAGGAGGAUAUCAAAUUAAUGAAGGAGACGGGGCUGGAUGCUUAUAGAUUCUCUAUCUCUUGGUCAAGGCUUAUUCCUAAUGGAAGAGGAGAAAUCAAUCCAAAAGGAGUAGAAUACUACAACAAUCUCAUCAAUGAACUUCUUGAUCAUGGAAUUCAACCACAUACAACGAUUUUCCAGUACGAUCUUCCUCAGAUCCUUGAAGAUGAAUAUGGUGGAUGGUUGAGUCCCCAAAUAAUUGAUGAUUUCACAGCAUAUGCAGAUGUGUGCUUUAGGGAAUUUGGGGAUAGGGUUACCAAUUGGACUACUCUAAAUGAACCUAACGCUUUAGUUUCGCUUGGAUAUGAUGCUGGUAUCGGGCCACCAGGGAGAUGUUCUAAACCAUUUGGAUUUGCUAACUGUUCCUCUGGGGACUCUGUAAAUGAGCCAUACAUUGUAGCUCAUAAUUGCUUAUUGGCUCAUAGCUCAGCUGUGUCACUAUACAGAAGAAAGUAUCAGGCAAAGCAACACGGACUUAUUGGCAUGAAUAUGUUUAUAAAUAACAUAUUACCUUAUACAAAUUCAACAGAAGAUAUAGCUGCAGCGAAAAGAGCACAAGCCUUCUACACAGGCUGGUUCUUGGAUCCUCUCUAUUAUGGAGAUUACCCACUUGUGAUGAAGGAAAAUACUGGCUCCAAGUUGCCAAAAUUUUCUCGAAGCCAGUCUAAACAACUAAUCAGCUCUAUGGACUUUCUUGGUAUCAAUUACUACACAUUUUUGUACGUGAAGGAUGACCCGCAUCAUGCUCCCAGCAACAGAAGGGAUUUCAGGGCUGAUAUGGCUGCUAAAUCAAUAUUUGCAAGCAAUUCUACCACUGGGUUCUCUGUGCCAGGUUAUGGUCUACGGCAAGUGCUUGAACAUUUGAAGCAAUCUUAUGGUAAUCCUCCAAUCUAUAUCCAUGAGAAUGGGUAUCCAAUGCAUCAAGAUGUGGUAUUUGAUGAUGGCCCUAGGGUGGAAUUCUUGAGUGAACAUCUUAAAAACCUGCUUAUUGCUCUCAGGAAUGGUUCGAAUACUAGGGGCUACUUUGCCUGGUCGCUGAUGGAUUUAUAUGAACUACUUAGUGUCGGGGACACGUAUGGGCUGUAUUACGUGGAUUUUGCCAAUGAGGAUCUCAAGAGGUAUCCAAGGAGGUCUGCGAUUUGGUACAAGGAUUUUCUCAAGGGGAGGCGCAUGGAGACAGAGAGAUUCUCCGAUCACUAG